CUCAACCCUUUCUGGUUGGACACCCAGAGAAAUGCAAAUUACAAUAGAACCAAUCGUAAAUUAUUUCUGACGUGUAUGCUGCGUGCAAAAAUACGAAUGGAUGGACGGGUAUCCCUCUACUUUUUUAAACCAUAAUUUGAAUCCCUCUCUCAAACUUUUGGUAGUAACGUAUGAACAAAAAUUUUUGUCAACCGGCUUUUUGUCCAGCUUUCAAACAGACAUUUUUACACAAUUCUUUUAGGUACGACACUGGUAGUUUUACCCGGGAAAGAUUAUAAAAGCGGUUUUUUUCCGGGCUCAGUUACAAUCGUCUGUACCAAGCAAAUAGAAAUGUUCUCUGAGAAGUCAAUUUCUAAAUUUACUCUAAUUCUCAAUGAUUUUAUAAAAAAUAUAAAAUUUUUUAUUCGAAUUAUUUAGUAACCGAGAUAAAUUUAUUUUAAUUUCAAAUUUAAUUAUAUAUUUUUUUAACCAUUUACUUAAAAAUAAUUUAUCGUUACUAUAAAUCGUCUAUCAAUUUAUUUAAAAACUCUAAUCGUAAAAACUAAGUAAAUAAUAAUUAUUGCUGUGUGUUUUUGAAUAAUAAAAAAUUAGAAACUUACAACACAUUUUCGCCAUGAGAUUCUUCGACGCAAAAAAUUUCAAUUCUUCAGCAAAUUCAAUUCAAAAGAAACUACUACUCGAAUGUUUUUCCGACUGGAUGAUUUUUCAAAAGUACAAUUUCAUUGGACUGGAGGCAACGCACAAUUUCUCAAACCGUUUUAUAAAUUUCAACACCGACUUCAAAUUUCAUACAUCAUGCGGCUACUGAUCUAUGAAACUACUACUCGAUUGUUCUUCCGACUGGAUGAUUUUUCAUAAGUACAAUUUCAUUGGACUGGAGGCAACGCACAAUUUCUCAAACCGUUUUAUAAAUUUCAACACCGACUUCAAAUUUCAUACAUCAUGCGGCUACUGAUCUAUGGUACCGUUAAUAUGAAUCACUAUUUUCUACUUUAAGAUGAAAAUUGACGUCAAAAAUUUGAAUAAUUCAAAAUUUAGUGAGUUAUCAUUUACUAUUCAAUUAAUUAUUUUCAUAAAAAUUCUAUUUAUCAAUAAAUAUUAUGCUGAUGCUAGUCCGUGUUAAGAAAAAUGAUUUACUCCAUGCUAAGUAUAUCUACAUAUUAGUCGAUUCAAAAUUAUUUCAAGUCAUUUCAAAUUGUUUUGAAUCAUUUCAAAUCAUUUUUCUUAAUCAGGGAGUUUGGAAAUUUUUAAUUAAUAUUGAAUAUGAACCAAUAAACUGUUAAAGAAAUAUCAGGUUCAUUAACUAAAGUAAUGUCACCAUUAAGAAAAAGAUCGCUGUGAUUAAAAAAACUAUUACAAAUAAUAUGCUUACUAUUAUAAUAUAGAAAAUUAUACUGAUUUCUAUGAUCAUAUAACCAAAUUAAAAAUCGUCAAUAUCUAUUUGUUUGUUUUGUCCCGAUGACUAGAUUUUUUCAGUACUUUUAUUUCCAAAAAAAGCUCAAAAUUAUUUUUUAUAAAAUUAGUGUUCGAAAUCGACUUUGAAUUUAUUUCUCGUCAACCGGUCAAAUUUUUCUUUUAAUGGCCAAUUUUUGCGUUUUCGGUGUAUAGAAAGUUUUCAAAAAUAACAUAUUUUUAAAUAUCGAUAAAUUAUAUUGCAAAGUAUAUUUUAAUUGACAAUAAAUCAUUGCAAUAUGCACGCGAUUGAUGUAUUUUUUUUUUAUUAGAUUGUGAUAAAUCGGCAAAUUAUAUAUUGUAUCACAAUAUAAAUUUUUAUUAAUGGAAUCGUUUGUUUGCGACACUUUUUCACUUACAGUUUUCUUGAGUAAAUUACGAUCGUAAUAUUCGUGAUAUUUAUUAUCGCGCAAGUCCUUUAGACUUUCGACAUUAUGAUGAUCUAGUCUUGUUAAAAGAGAUGUUAAUUGUCCUUUCAAAACUGGAUAAAAUAAUAAUAGAAAUAAGAACGCGCUCAAAAAGGUUAUUUGCAUUGACAGUCUUUCUAUUGGUGACAUUAUUCUCAUAUUUAAUAUCAAUCAAAAAUUAAUUACAAUAGUAUCAGCGUAAUAAUAUUUAUUGUUAAGUAAAAUAAUUAUUUGAUUAAUUAAUAAAAUAUUAACCGAUGAAAAAAAAUUCAAAUUAUAAAAAUUCGUGAUUCCGUAACUUUUAAGUAAAAAUAUUUUUCAAUAUGUCAAUAUACUUUCAAACAUUUUGUAGUACUAAGUAAACUUAUUGCUACCGAAUGCGUGAAAAGCUAUGGGCACAUAAAAAAAAUUUUUUUGAAAACUGACUGUCACUAAAGUUUGUAAUUUUUAAUUUCUCUUCAUCGACUACUAGUUAAUUUAUUAUUUGGGUAAUUAAUUUAUUUAAUUACAUGUAUUACUGCGCUCAUUUUAUUUAGAAUACUUUUUUAUUGAUAUUGAAUAUAAGAAAAAUGUCACCAAUUAUCAGACUGUCAAUGGAAAUGAUAUUUUUGAGCGCAUUUUUACUCCUUUUAUUAUUGUAUCCAGUUUUGAAAAGACAAAUAUCAACUCUUUUAACAAAACCACAUCAUCAUAAUGUCGAAACUUUAAAAGAUUUGCAUGAUAAUGAUUGUCAUGGUUAUUACGAUCUUAAUUUACGCAACGAAAUUGUAAAAGAAAGAGUGUCGCAUACAUACGGUUUUGUCAAUAAAUAUCAAUAUCCUGAUAUGAAAUGUAAUUUUUCGAUUUAUUGCUGUCUAUUGGUAAAAAAUACAUCAAUUCCGUGGAUAUUGCAAUGAUCGCUUGUUAAUUACGGUGCGUUUUACAAUAUAGUUUAUAUAUAUAUGAAAAUAUUAUAUUUUAAAGACUUUUUGUACAUUGGGCACGCAAAAAUUUGACAUUAAAAGAAAAAUACGAUCAGAUGAUCCGCAAUAUAUUUGAAUUUACUUUCAAAUUCUAGUUUAAUAACAAAAAGUUUUGUGUUUGUUUUUGAAGAAUAAAUGUUAUGGAAAAAAACUACUUAUCAGGGCACUACAAACAAAUAGGUAUUGGUAAUUUAUUAAUUUGUUUAUAUAAUUAUAGAGGUCAGUGUAAUUUUUAGUAAUUAUAAUAGUAAACAUAGUAAUUGUAAUAGUUUUUUAAAUUUCGUAGACUGAUUUUUAAAAAUAUAAAAUUCGCGCCAACUGACAGUCGGUUUAAAAAUUAACACAGAAUAUAAUUGUAUUGUAAACUCACAUGCUAUUUUUUUUCGAUCCACUGAAUAUGUACUGGUCAUGUAAUGAAUGAACAAUAAAAAUAAAAAAAUUGUCAAAAUUCAAAA
Molecule: long non-coding RNA, 3276 nt
Organism: Microplitis mediator
Lineage: Eukaryota; Metazoa; Arthropoda; Insecta; Hymenoptera; Braconidae
Exons: 3
Source: RefSeq, a predicted model, not a curated record